CUCAGUUACUAAAGAAGGCUCAAGAAACGCUAAAGAUAAGCUUUAAACAAAACUUUUGAUGUUAUUGAUAUAAUUCAAAAUGGAGGGAUUACGUUGUAAUAUACACAUACUUAUAUGCCUAGGAUAUCUGACGUCUUGUCUUGCGGCUCCAGGAUUUUCAUCUAAGAAAAUCCGCAGUGUACCAACACUGAAUAUAAAUGGAGACGACCCGCUGUUACUUUCAAAUUUUGAAAACAUUGGAAAGGAUCUAAGUGAAGUAAAUGAUACUGAGAACUUUACAACAGAGAACUAUGAAAAUACUGAAAUUACCACAAGCGAAACUGAGAUGGACGAAGCUACUACCCCUAGUUUCGAAAACGAGUCCACUGAAUCGACGACAGAAUCAGAUUUUUUAUUUCAACCAUUAGAUGAGUAUAUACAAGAACCCAUCAAUAGUCCAGAUCUUUUAGCAUCUCUUAUUGGCUGAUACGCCGUGCUUCACCGCCUCUACAUACAACAUUACAUAUUUCUGUAUCAAGAAAAACUCGGAAAAACUCGGAGACAUCAUCAAGAUUGUACAUAUAAAAUGAGUUAAGCAUUUUUCCAUCGUCAUCAAAGUCCUGGUAUAAUAAACUUGUUGUUUUC
This is a long non-coding RNA of Pieris napi, 624 nucleotides long. RefSeq lists it as uncharacterized. NCBI's taxonomy places the organism in Eukaryota, Metazoa, Arthropoda, Insecta, Lepidoptera, Pieridae. The record is from RefSeq and is a predicted model, not a curated record. The transcript is spliced from 4 exons.